RNAcentral lists this ribosomal RNA (329 nucleotides) under uncultured eukaryote. RNAcentral's name for it is "partial 18S ribosomal RNA". It matches the Rfam family "Eukaryotic small subunit ribosomal RNA", at positions 1470 to 1796 of the family's 1831-position model. The record is from RNAcentral.
CCCUUAGAUGUUCUGGGCUGCACGCGCGCUACACUGAAGCGUUCAACGAGUAUUCACCUUGCCCGGGAGGGUUGGGUAAUCUUUUGAAAACGCUUCGUGAUGGGGAUAGAUUAUUGCAAUUAUUAAUCUUCAACGAGGAAUUCCUAGUAAGCGCGAGUCAUCAGCUCGUGCUGAUUACGUCCCUGCCCUUUGUACACACCGCCCGUCGCUCCUACCGAUUGAAUGAUCCGGUGAGGCCCCCGGAUUGUGGCAAUGGCUCUGGUUCGCCAGACCAAUGCUGCGAGAAGCUGUCCAAACCUUAUCAUUUAGAGGAAGGAGAAGUCGUAACA